GGCCGACUAGCUCAGUUGGUUAGAGCGUCGUGCUAAUAACUCGACUCCUGUGGUGGCUCGGCCUGAUCAUCCUGGGCCUGCCGCAGGGUUGGAACGCGAAGGUCGUGGGUUCGACCCCCCCGUUGGCCA
RNAcentral lists this transfer RNA (129 nucleotides) under Pisolithus microcarpus. RNAcentral's name for it is "tRNA-Ile". It matches the Rfam family "tRNA". Rfam says of the family: Transfer RNA (tRNA) molecules are approximately 80 nucleotides in length. RNAcentral also lists the same sequence under 1 other name. Lineage: Eukaryota; Fungi; Basidiomycota; Agaricomycetes; Boletales; Pisolithaceae. The record is from RNAcentral.